UUGAAUAGCGUUUUCGAUAUAUAGCAAAUGAUAUGGAUUUGAAGUUUCUACCCGGACGCCGUAAAUGACCGGACUAUCGGAAGAUGUAUUA
This 91-nucleotide non-coding RNA is filed under the name human gut metagenome. Its description in RNAcentral is "Purine riboswitch". The stretch from base 12 to 91 matches the Rfam family "Purine riboswitch aptamer", at positions 18 to 97 of the family's 102-position model. From Rfam's summary of the family: Riboswitches are metabolite binding domains within certain messenger RNAs that serve as precision sensors for their corresponding targets. Allosteric rearrangement of mRNA structure is mediated by ligand binding, and this results in modulation of gene expression. The record is from RNAcentral.